Molecule: ribosomal RNA, 253 nt
Filed under: uncultured bacterium
Lineage: Bacteria
Description: partial 16S ribosomal RNA
Rfam family: Bacterial small subunit ribosomal RNA
Source: RNAcentral
UACGAAGGGGGCUAGCGCUGCUCGGAAUCACUGGGCGUAAAGCGCACGUAGGCGGACUCUUAAGUCAGGGGUGAAAUCCUGGAGCUCAACUCCAGAACUGCCUUUGAUACUGAAGAUCUUGAGUUCGGGAGAGGUGAGUGGAACUGCGAGUGUAGAGGUGAAAUUCGUAGAUAUUCGCAAGAACACCAGUGGCGAAGGCGGCUCACUGGCCCGAUACUGACGCUGAGGCACGAAAGCGUGGGGAGCAAACAGG